GUGUUAAAUUCUCAAGAUUUUACCUUAGCGUGAUCUAUGUUACCUUCUACUGAAUUCAACAGGAGAAGUUGAAUGAUCAGCUGGAGGAACAAAGGCAGGAACAGGCCCUGCAGAGGUAUCGCUGUGAAGCCGAUGAGCUGGACAGCUGGCUCUUGAGUACCAAGGCCACUCUGGACACUGCGCUGAGUCCACCCAAGGAGCCCAUGGACAUGGAGGCCCAGCUUGUGGACUGCCAGAAUAUGCUGGUGGAAAUAGAGCAGAAGGUGGUGGCUUUAUCAGAACUGUCAGUCCACAAUGAGAACCUGCUGCUGGAGGGCAAAGCUCACACCAAGGACGAGGCCGAGCAGCUGGCUGGAAAGCUGAGAAGGCUCAAGGGGAGCCUGCUGGAGCUGCAGAGAGCCCUGCAUGAUAAGC
Molecule: small RNA, 414 nt
Filed under: Pan troglodytes (chimpanzee)
Lineage: Eukaryota; Metazoa; Chordata; Mammalia; Primates; Hominidae
Description: retained intron
Source: RNAcentral